Molecule: ribosomal RNA, 465 nt
Filed under: Vreelandella stevensii
Lineage: Bacteria; Pseudomonadati; Pseudomonadota; Gammaproteobacteria; Oceanospirillales; Halomonadaceae
Description: partial 16S ribosomal RNA
Rfam family: Bacterial small subunit ribosomal RNA
Source: RNAcentral
CCUACGUGUGGCAGCAGUGGGGAAUAUUGGACAAUGGGCGAAAGCCUGAUCCAGCCAUGCCGCGUGUGUGAAGAAGGCCUUCGGGUUGUAAAGCACUUUCAGUGGGGAAGAAAGCCUUGGGGCUAAUACCCUCGAGGAAGGACAUCACCCACAGAAGAAGCACCGGCUAACUCCGUGCCAGCAGCCGCGGUAAUACGGAGGGUGCGAGCGUUAAUCGGAAUUACUGGGCGUAAAGCGCGCGUAGGCGGUCUGAUAAGCCGGUUGUGAAAGCCCCGGGCUCAACCUGGGAACGGCAUCCGGAACUGUCCGGCUAGAGUGCAGGAGAGGAAGGUAGAAUUCCCGGUGUAGCGGUGAAAUGCGUAGAGAUCGGGAGGAAUACCAGUGGCGAAGGCGGCCUUCUGGACUGACACUGACGCUGAGGUGCGAAAGCGUGGGUAGCAAACAGGAUUAGAUACCCUUGUAGUC